UUCUGACAAAAUAUAUAUAAGGAGCCAAAAUACAAGGAGUUUAAAAUAGAAGCAGAACAUUUCAUUAUAACUAGCCAUUACUUGAUUUUAUCUUCAUUGAUAGCUAGAUUCAUAACCUUUAUUCUAAUAUCCUCGAGCAUCUUGAUAAUUGGCAUAUGUCUAGCUUCAAGAAUCCAUGCAUUAAACAACUCACUAAAAUUAUUGUCGACCAUUAUGUUUUUAUGUUGAGUGUCAAAAUAUGCUCUACACCAAGAUUGUGAAGGAUAAUGCAGGAGAUCUUUGGCAGCAGAAGCAUCUUCAUCCUUACAUAGCUCUCCCAUCUUCUUUAGUUGAUCUUUGAAAUUUUUUCAUUAGUGCUCCAAGCACACCACCAAAACAAUUUCUUCAUAUGUCCACUUCUCCACUUUUUUUGCUAAUUUGCCUCAAUAUGUCAUACACAACUUUUUCAUAAAUGCUCCAAGAACACCACCACAACAAUUUCUUCAUAUGUCCACUUCUCCACUUCUUUUGCUAAUUUGCCUCAAUAUGUCGUACACAAUACCUAUGAUGAGAUUCAGGAAGUAUAUUCUGCAC
RNAcentral lists this long non-coding RNA (573 nucleotides) under Nicotiana benthamiana. RNAcentral's name for it is "long non-coding RNA (NBEN_LNC008223)". Lineage: Eukaryota; Viridiplantae; Streptophyta; Magnoliopsida; Solanales; Solanaceae. The record is from RNAcentral.